GAAUUCAAAACUUAAUGUCCUUAUAUGGUAAUUAGACCAUUAAUAAAUGUAUGUAGAUAUUUUGGGUAUGACUCAUCCUUGGAAAAUUUAAAAAUGUGUAGGGACUAAAUUGGAAUUUAAUUAAAUUAAUUAAUUAAAAAAGAUGAUAAAAGAAUUAUCAUCUUAUUUUUCUCAUCUUCUUCCCCAAAUAAUACAUGGAAAUCCUCAGAUGGCCAAAUUAUGUAAGUAUUCAAGCCCCG
Molecule: long non-coding RNA, 239 nt
Filed under: Gossypium barbadense (sea-island cotton)
Lineage: Eukaryota; Viridiplantae; Streptophyta; Magnoliopsida; Malvales; Malvaceae
Description: long non-coding RNA (GBAR_LNC002459)
Source: RNAcentral